RNAcentral lists this unclassified non-coding RNA (1181 nucleotides) under Zea mays. Its description in RNAcentral is "misc RNA Zm00001eb279390". Lineage: Eukaryota; Viridiplantae; Streptophyta; Magnoliopsida; Poales; Poaceae. The record is from RNAcentral.
UGCGUGGUCGGAGCGAGACACUGCAAGUACGAAACCAGGUCACUGAACCCUUAUUCAGCAACUCCAACUCCUGUAGCCUGACGAGUGACGACAUGGAGACGGAAGGAGACGUCCGACGUGAAGUCCGCGUGUGGGCGUGCUACGGUCUCACGGCAUCACCUGAUCAACGGCGUGGCGGUGGCGAGCUCGGCGUCCUCCUCCCACAGCCGCAGAUCAUCCACCAGCCUGUCGAGGCUCUCGCACGACGACCCACCGGGCGCCGUGGCCUUCCAGGCCGCGGCCUUCCACUUGGCGGCGCAGCGCCGCAUUUCCCUGGCCCUGUCGGUACCGCCGGCCAUCAGCUCCUCGACGUGGGCCGCGACCUGCUCCCGGCGCAGCGCCUCGUCCAGGCGCAGCCCGAUGCCCCACUCCUCGCACGCGUACCGGCAGUUGAUGUACUGGUCGGCGAACCCGGGCCAGCAGACCAUCGGCACGCCCGCCCAGAUGCUCUCCGCCGUGGAGUUCCAGCCGCUGUGCGUCAGGAACCCGCCCACGGCGCGGUGCCGCAGGACCUGCUCCUGCGCGCACCACUCGGCGAUGAAGCACCGGCCCCCGGUCGCGGCCAGGAAGCCCUCGGGCAGCGCGUCGGCGCCGCGGUCCCCGGCCACGAGCCCCGGGCGCACCGCCCAGAGGAACGGCCGGUCGCUGGCCGCCAGGCCCCACGCGAGCUCCGCGACCUGCUCCAGCGACAGCACGGCCAGGGACCCGAAGCUGACGUACAGGACCGACCCGUCCGCCUGCGCGUCCAGCCACGCCACGCACUCGGAGUCCUCCUCCCACAGGCUCAGCGCCCCCGCGGCGGCGGCGGCCAGGGGACCGAUGGUGUACACCCGCGGGAACUCGUCCCUCAGCGCGGCGAGGACGUCGUGCUCGAGGUCCUCGAACGUGUUGAGGAUGACGCCCCGCGCCCUGGCGCAGCUGUUCGCCUCGUCCUCCUCCACGCGCAGCGCGAAGCACUGCGGGUCCAGCGUCCGGACGAAGCUGGAGAUGUCGCCGAGCCGCAGCGUCGGCAUCCCCGCGAUCCAGUCGAUGGGCGUGUCCAGGUACCCGUUCGUCAGGUAGCUCUCGUCUGCCAUUAAGAAGAAGAGCAUGCAGUCAUACGAUACGAUGGAGUAAUCUUCUUGACGUGCAAGUCAUGCAAG